RNAcentral lists this ribosomal RNA (475 nucleotides) under uncultured bacterium. Its description in RNAcentral is "bacterial SSU rRNA". It matches the Rfam family "Bacterial small subunit ribosomal RNA", at positions 28 to 493 of the family's 1533-position model. The record is from RNAcentral.
GAUGAACGCUAGCUACAGGCUUAACACAUGCAAGUCGAGGGGCAGCAUGAACUUAGCUUGCUAAGUUUGAUGGCGACCGGCGCACGGGUGAGUAACACGUAUCCAACCUGCCGAUGACUCGGGGAUAGCCUUUCGAAAGAAAGAUUAAUACCCGAUGGCAUAGUUCUUCCGCAUGGUAGAACUAUUAAAGAAUUUCGGUCAUCGAUGGGGAUGCGUUCCAUUAGGUUGUUGGCGGGGUAACGGCCCACCAAGCCUUCGAUGGAUAGGGGUUCUGAGAGGAAGGUCCCCCACAUUGGAACUGAGACACGGUCCAAACUCCUACGGGAGGCAGCAGUGAGGAAUAUUGGUCAAUGGACGAGAGUCUGAACCAGCCAAGUAGCGUGAAGGAUGACUGCCCUAUGGGUUGUAAACUUCUUUUAUACGGGAAUAAAGUGAGGCACGCGUGCCUUUUUGUAUGUACCGUAUGAAUAAGGAU